AAGGACUUAAAAACCAAAGAAAACAGAUGAACAAACACAACAAGAAAAUAAAAUGGAUGUACAGUCUUCAGUGAUUAUGUAUUAUAGAAACAAUGAAAAGCAUUCACUGUGUUAAAAGGACUUGAAAAUAGGAAGAAAUCUGCAAAAAAGACAAUGGAUAUGAAGCGACCGAAUAGAACUUGGUGCAUAGCAAGUGCUCACAAAACCGGAGCUGAAAUUUGGAGUCAGGGAAGCAAAGGAUUGUUUGGACAGAGAUGAAAACAAGAUCAAAGUUGCACGACCAGGGUCUUUGGAUAAAAGCUGACCGAAGAGGAGAAGGACCACGUACCAGCUCUCCAGCCUAGAUCUGGGGAUGUGACUUGAGCAAACAAUGACCAGGAGGGAGAUCUUGACGAACCAGCAAGCAAAACUCUUAUUUGUGAAUCAUUUACAUAUUGUUUCUAGGUAACUCUUCAUUUCAUUUUCCUUUACAUUUGCCCUGUUCUUAAAUUCUCAUAAA
This is a long non-coding RNA of Suricata suricatta (meerkat), 499 nucleotides long. RefSeq lists it as uncharacterized. The record is from RefSeq and is a predicted model, not a curated record. NCBI's taxonomy places the organism in Eukaryota, Metazoa, Chordata, Mammalia, Carnivora, Herpestidae. The transcript is spliced from 3 exons.